AGUCCUCCCCUCCAACAAAAAAUAGGAAAGUCCAUAUGUACUCAAAUAAAUGCCUUUACCACAUGAAUGACAUUCCAAAUAGAACAAAUUAGGAAAAUCACUUUACCCAAUAGUCUCCAUAAGAGUUGCCUUUACCCAAUUGAUUGCACCACUAGCACCCUUUGUUGUACACCACAAUUUCCAAAAUCACCUUCACCACAAGUUUCUUCCUCACCACAAUUUCUAAUAGAAUCUUCACCACCACUUUGUUCUUCAUCCGAGCCCACCGAUAAAUCAUCCUCAUCUACCACAUCCUCCAAGUUGGCAACAUCAAAAUCAUUGUUCACUCUACAUAUAUCAAAGU
This 343-nucleotide long non-coding RNA is filed under the name Setaria viridis. Its description in RNAcentral is "long non-coding RNA (SVIR_LNC009762)". The record is from RNAcentral. Lineage: Eukaryota; Viridiplantae; Streptophyta; Magnoliopsida; Poales; Poaceae.